This 72-nucleotide transfer RNA is filed under the name Neurospora tetrasperma FGSC 2508. Its description in RNAcentral is "tRNA-Ala (TGC) (tRNA-Ala-TGC-2-1)". It matches the Rfam family "tRNA". Rfam says of the family: Transfer RNA (tRNA) molecules are approximately 80 nucleotides in length. Their secondary structure includes four short double-helical elements and three loops (D, anti-codon, and T loops). Lineage: Eukaryota; Fungi; Ascomycota; Sordariomycetes; Sordariales; Sordariaceae. The record is from RNAcentral. RNAcentral also lists the same sequence under 1 other name.
GGGCGGAUAGUUCAGUGGCAAAAUAUCUGUUUUGCAUACAGAAGGUCCCGUGUUCAAUCCACGGUUCGUCCA